CAGCAGCCGCGGUAAUACGAGGGGGGCAAGCGUUGUUCGGAAUUAUUGGGCGUAAAGGGUGCGUAGGCGGUUUGGCAAGUUUGGUGUGAAAUCUUCGGGCUCAACUCGAAGUCUGCAUCGAAAACUGCCGGGCUUGAGUAUGGGAGAGGUGAGUGGAAUUUCCGGUGUAGCGGUGAAAUGCGUAGAUAUCGGAAGGAACACCUGUGGCGAAAGCGGCUCACUGGACCAUAACUGACGCUGAUGCACGAAAGCUAGGGGAGCAAACAGGAUUAGAUACCCCAGUAGUCCCUGUCUCUUAUAC
This 301-nucleotide ribosomal RNA is filed under the name uncultured bacterium. RNAcentral describes it as "partial 16S ribosomal RNA". It matches the Rfam family "Bacterial small subunit ribosomal RNA", at positions 509 to 807 of the family's 1533-position model. The record is from RNAcentral.